This 723-nucleotide ribosomal RNA is filed under the name Nostoc sp. 'Peltigera sp. K43 cyanobiont'. RNAcentral's name for it is "bacterial SSU rRNA". It matches the Rfam family "Bacterial small subunit ribosomal RNA", at positions 61 to 824 of the family's 1533-position model. Lineage: Bacteria; Bacillati; Cyanobacteriota; Cyanophyceae; Nostocales; Nostocaceae. RNAcentral also lists the same sequence under 1 other name. The record is from RNAcentral.
GUCGAACGGUGUUUUCGGACACAGUGGCGGACGGGUGAGUAACGCGUGAGAAUCUGGCUUCAGGUCUGGGACAACCACUGGAAACGGUGGCUAAUACCGGAUGUGCCCGUAAUUGGGUGAAAGAUUAAUUGCCUGAAGAUGAGCUCGCGUCUGAUUAGCUAGUUGGAAGUGUAAUGGACUCCCAAGGCGACGAUCAGUAGCUGGUCUGAGAGGACGAUCAGCCACACUGGGACUGAGACACGGCCCAGACUCCUACGGGAGGCAGCAGUGGGGAAUUUUCCGCAAUGGGCGAAAGCCUGACGGAGCAAUACCGCGUGAGGGAGGAAGGCUCUUGGGUCGUAAACCUCUUUUCUCAGGGAAGAACACAAUGACGGUACCUGAGGAAUAAGCAUCGGCUAACUCCGUGCCAGCAGCCGCGGUAAUACGGAGGAUGCAAGCGUUAUCCGGAAUGAUUGGGCGUAAAGCGUCCGCAGGUGGCAAUGUAAGUCUGCUGUUAAAGAGUCUAGCUCAACUAGAUAAGAGCAGUGGAAACUACAUAGCUAGAGUACGUUCGGGGCAGAGGGAAUUCCUGGUGUAGCGGUGAAAUGCGUAGAGAUCAGGAAGAACACCAGUGGCGAAGGCGCUCUGCUAGGCCGUAACUGACACUGAGGGACGAAAGCUAGGGGAGCGAAUGGGAUUAGAUACCCCAGUAGUCCUAGCCGUAAACGAUGGAUACUAGGCGUG